CAGUAGCCGCGGUAAUACGAAGGGGGCUAGCGUUGCUCGGAAUGACUGGGCGUAAAGGGCGCGUAGGCGGAUGGCACAGUCAGAUGUGAAAUUCCCGGGCUUAACCUGGGGGCUGCAUUUGAUACGUGUUGUCUAGAGUGAGGAAGAGGGUCGUGGAAUUCCCAGUGUAGAGGUGAAAUUCGUAGAUAUUGGGAAGAACACCGGUGGCGAAGGCGGCGACCUGGUCCUUUACUGACGCUGAGGCGCGAAAGCGUGAGGAGCAAACAGGAUUAGAGACCCCCGUAGUCCCUGUCUCUUAUAC
RNAcentral lists this ribosomal RNA (301 nucleotides) under uncultured bacterium. RNAcentral describes it as "partial 16S ribosomal RNA". It matches the Rfam family "Bacterial small subunit ribosomal RNA", at positions 509 to 807 of the family's 1533-position model. The record is from RNAcentral.